UACGUAGGGGGCAAGCGUUGUCCGGAAUUAUUGGGCGUAAAGCGCGCGCAGGCGGCGACUUAAGUCUGGUGUUUAAGCCCGGGGCUCAACCCCGGUACGCACUGGAAACUGGGUGGCUGGAGUGCAGGAGAGGGGAGUGGAAUUCCACGUGUAGCGGUGAAAUGCGUAGAGAUGUGGAGGAACACCAGUGGCGAAGGCGACUCUCUGGCCUGUAACUGACGCUGAGGCGCGAAAGCGUGGGGAGCAAACAGG
RNAcentral lists this ribosomal RNA (252 nucleotides) under uncultured bacterium. RNAcentral describes it as "partial 16S ribosomal RNA". It matches the Rfam family "Bacterial small subunit ribosomal RNA", at positions 524 to 776 of the family's 1533-position model. RNAcentral also lists the same sequence under 1 other name. The record is from RNAcentral.